RNAcentral lists this unclassified non-coding RNA (339 nucleotides) under uncultured bacterium. RNAcentral's name for it is "contains 16S-23S intergenic spacer region". The stretch from base 1 to 125 matches the Rfam family "5.8S ribosomal RNA", at positions 30 to 154 of the family's 154-position model. The record is from RNAcentral.
GCAUCGAUGAAGAACGCAGCGAAAUGCGAUAAGUAGUGUGAAUUGCAGAAUUCAGUGAAUCAUCGAAUCUUUGAACGCACAUUGCGCCCUUUGGUAUUCCUUAGGGCAUGCCUGUUCGAGCGUCAUUUGAAAACUCAAGCUCAGCUUGGUGAUGGGUGUCUGUCUCCGCCCCGCGGGGACUCGCCUCAAAAGCAUUGGCGGCCGGUACGUUGGCUUCGAGCGCAGCAGAAACGCGAACUCGGGGCUGGCGGAUCGGCGACCAGAAGUAUCUUCUUUACAGCUUGACCUCGGAUCAGGUAGGGAUACCCGCUGAACUUAAGCAUAUCAAUAAGCGGAGGA